AAGGGAGACCUAAUUCGGGUAGAAGACGAAAAAAUAGUAGUCGAAACCAAGAAUCAAUCCCAAAAGGUCGGAACGAGGUAUGUGGCUUUCAAACUAGGUUCUGGGUUCACAAAAGACCUGAAUCAGGAACAAGGGCUAUUAGCUCAGGUGGUUAGAGCGCACCCCUGAUAAGGGUGAGGUCCCUGGUUCGAGUCCAGGAUGGCCCACCUGCACAGGUGGCAAAAACAAGAGAGACGAGGAAUCAGCACCUUAUCUUACUUACAUAGUAAGAGAGAAUGCUGGCUCUGAGUAAAGAGUCCAGAGGAACCUUGAAAACUGCAUAGAGCUAGGUGAAAAAGCCAAAAAAGAAGACCGCAA
This 357-nucleotide transfer RNA is filed under the name uncultured Microcystis sp. RNAcentral describes it as "partial 16S-23S ribosomal RNA intergenic spacer". The stretch from base 133 to 206 matches the Rfam family "tRNA". Lineage: Bacteria; Bacillati; Cyanobacteriota; Cyanophyceae; Chroococcales; Microcystaceae. The record is from RNAcentral.